RNAcentral lists this ribosomal RNA (506 nucleotides) under uncultured bacterium. RNAcentral's name for it is "partial 16S ribosomal RNA". It matches the Rfam family "Bacterial small subunit ribosomal RNA", at positions 30 to 523 of the family's 1533-position model. The record is from RNAcentral.
AUUGAACGCUGGCGGCAGGCUUAACACAUGCAAGUCGAGCGGUAACAGAGAGAAGCUUGCUUCUCUGCUGACGAGCGGCGGACGGGUGAGUAAUGCCUAGGAAUCUGCCUAGUAGUGGGGGAUAACUUGCCGAAAGGUAAGCUAAUACCGCAUACGUCCUACGGGAGCAAUGAGGGGACCUUCGGGCCUUUCGCUAUUAGAUGAGCCUAGGUCGGAUUAGUUAGUUGGUGAGGUAAAGGCUCACCAAGACCGCGAUCCGUAACUGGUCUGAGAGGAUGAUCAGUCACACUGGAACUGAGACACGGUCCAGACUCCUACGGGAGGCAGCAGUGGGGAAUAUUGGACAAUGGGGGGAACCCUGAUCCAGCCAUGCCGCGUGUGUGAAGAAGGUCUUAGGAUUGUAAAGCACUUUAAGUUGGGAGGAAGAGCAGUUAACUAAUAUUUGACUGUUUUGACGUUACCGACAGAAUAAGCACCGGCUAACUUCGUGCCAGCCGCCGCAGUAA